RNAcentral lists this long non-coding RNA (680 nucleotides) under Sorghum bicolor (sorghum). RNAcentral's name for it is "long non-coding RNA (SBIC_LNC000474)". Lineage: Eukaryota; Viridiplantae; Streptophyta; Magnoliopsida; Poales; Poaceae. The record is from RNAcentral.
CGUGGAGUCUAUUACAGCAACGUGCACGUCUAAGUCAGCCAGUCGGGUCCCCGUUUAGGCCCCCAAAUGGACAAAUGGCCGGGCACGCACGCCGAUCUCAAACAGCGCAGCCGUUCACUCAACAAGGAUGACCGAUCCCAAUCCCAUCAACGUCGUCUACGUACAUGUUAUCUUUAAAAAUCAACGUCGUCUACUUGGCCAAAACGACCGUCAUUUUAGUAUACGAAGGCAAUUAAAGUGAGUGAGGGAUCGGAACCUCAGCGAUCUACGGCUACUACUCGGCUAGUUUAGGUACCGUUGGUGCUUAAAAAGAGCUCGGUGGCAAAAGUACGAUGCGAGCAAAAAGAUACAAAUGUGGGGCGCUCCCACCCCAAAAGGCUCGCUCAUGCCACACAUCUUCGUCUCGAAUUUAGAUGCCUGCCUGCCACAAGUCUUCCUCUUUCUUUUUCUUUUUUUUUCUACUUUUUUCAUCCCAUUUAAAAUGUCAUUUUUAACUUUUAUAAAUUUCUUAUUUAACUGUUAAUUUUAUUUAAUUUUUUACAUAAAUAUUAAAAAUAAAUAAAUCAUUGCUAAAAUAUUUUUAUUAAUAAAAUAAAUAAUAUUUAUACAUAAAUUUUAAAUAAAAUAAACUGUCAAAUAACAAGUCUAAAAAAAAAAUUAAAAUCGACGAAAAGGUAUAC